GACGAACGCUGGCGGCGUGCUUAACACAUGCAAGUCGAACGGAAAGGCCCUGCUUUUGUGGGGUGCUCGAGUGGCGAACGGGUGAGUAACACGUGAGUAACCUGCCCUUGACUUUGGGAUAACUUCAGGAAACUGGGGCUAAUACCGGAUAGGAGCUCCUGCUGCAUGGUGGGGGUUGGAAAGUUUCGGCGGUUGGGGAUGGACUCGCGGCUUAUCAGCUUGUUGGUGGGGUAGUGGCUUACCAAGGCUUUGACGGGUAGCCGGCCUGAGAGGGUGACCGGCCACAUUAGGACUGAGAUACGGCCCAGACUCCUACGGGAGGCAGCAGUGGGGAAUAUUGCACAAUGGGCGGAAGCCUGAUGCAGCAACGCCGCGUGCGGGAUGACGGCCUUCGGGUUGUAAACCGCUUGCGCCUGUGACGAAGCGUGAGUGACGGUAAUGGGUAAAGAAGCACCGGCUAACUACGUG
This 468-nucleotide ribosomal RNA is filed under the name uncultured bacterium. RNAcentral describes it as "partial 16S ribosomal RNA". It matches the Rfam family "Bacterial small subunit ribosomal RNA", at positions 28 to 507 of the family's 1533-position model. The record is from RNAcentral.